This is a long non-coding RNA of Actinia tenebrosa (Australian red waratah sea anemone), 438 nucleotides long. RefSeq lists it as uncharacterized. NCBI's taxonomy places the organism in Eukaryota, Metazoa, Cnidaria, Anthozoa, Actiniaria, Actiniidae. The record is from RefSeq and is a predicted model, not a curated record.
AAUAUCAGUGGAAACAACUCAAACAAAGAAUCUUAUUCCCAAGAUAAUGACAAGCGAUCUGAAUGGGAGAAUAUUACACCCAAGGUUCUGAGCAAAAAUUGCUGAUUGUCUUUACUAUUAACCACUCAUGGGCACUUCUGGGGGAUCAGAUUCUCAGCUUGUAAAGGUGGCAUCAGCGCAUGUAGGGUUUGACGACCUUGAUUCCUUGAAGCAAACACCUUUGGAAGGAAAACGAACCAAAUUGAUUGAGACCAUUCUCUAGUAUGUCGGCUUUCACUCCCAUGUAGAGCUUCAGAAAGGACUUCACUGCAGUUGUGAAGCUGCGAAGUAGAUGGUGAGCGUGAUAUUUAUAGUUAAUUACUUUGGAAAUACUUUUGUUGAAUAAAUACACGAUAACAAUAUUUUUGUAUUUGCUUAAUCAUUGCUAAAAACCCUUUG